CCCCCGGUGGCUUAGAUGGUAAAGAAUCUGCUUGCAGUGCAGGAGACCCAGGUUCGAUGCCUGGAUUGGGAA
This 72-nucleotide transfer RNA is filed under the name Bos taurus (domestic cattle). It matches the Rfam family "tRNA". Rfam says of the family: Transfer RNA (tRNA) molecules are approximately 80 nucleotides in length. Their secondary structure includes four short double-helical elements and three loops (D, anti-codon, and T loops). The record is from Rfam by way of RNAcentral. Lineage: Eukaryota; Metazoa; Chordata; Mammalia; Artiodactyla; Bovidae. RNAcentral also lists the same sequence under 1 other name.